UGUUUCAGCUUCCCAGAGUGCUGGGAUUGCAGGUUGGACAAUUAAUUGGAAUUUUAACAAAAAACAAGGUAGGAAGCAGUUAGUCAGAACUUUGACAUUAU
Lemur catta (Ring-tailed lemur) is the source of this 101-nucleotide long non-coding RNA. RefSeq lists it as uncharacterized. Lineage: Eukaryota; Metazoa; Chordata; Mammalia; Primates; Lemuridae. The transcript is spliced from 3 exons. The record is from RefSeq and is a predicted model, not a curated record.